GAUGAAGAACGUAGCGAAAUGCGAUAAGUAAUGUGAAUUGCAGAAUUCAGUGAAUCAUCGAAUCUUUGAACGCACAUUGCGCCCAUUAGUAUUCUAGUGGGCAUGCCUGUUCGAGCGUCAUUUCAACCCUUAAGCCCCUGUUGCUUAGCGUUGGGAGCCUACAGCCUGCUGUAGUUCCUCAAAGUUAGUGGCGGAGUCAGUUCACACUCUAGACGUAGUAAAAUCUUUAUCUCGCCUAUAGAUGAGCUGGCGCCUUGCCGUAAAAACCCCUAAUCUUUUACAAGGUUGACCUCGGAUCAGGUAGGAAUACCCGCUGAACUUAAGCACAUCAAUAAGCGGAGGA
RNAcentral lists this unclassified non-coding RNA (343 nucleotides) under soil metagenome. Its description in RNAcentral is "partial contains 5.8S ribosomal RNA, internal transcribed spacer 2, and large subunit ribosomal RNA". The stretch from base 1 to 120 matches the Rfam family "5.8S ribosomal RNA", at positions 35 to 154 of the family's 154-position model. The record is from RNAcentral.